AGAGUUUGAUCCUGGCUCAGGAUGAACGCUAGCGACAGGCUUAACACAUGCAAGUCGAGGGGCAGCAGGGGAGUAGCAAUACUCCCGCUGGCGACCGGCGCACGGGUGAGUAACACGUAUGCAACCUGCCCUUGUCAGGGGGAUAAGCGGAAGAAAUUCCGUCUAAUACCGCAUAACGCUGCGGGGAGACAUCUCCCUGCAGCCAAAGAUUUAUCGGACAAGGAUGGGCAUGCGGCGCAUUAGCUUGUUGGCGGGGUAACGGCCCACCAAGGCGACGAUGCGUAGGGGUUCUGAGAGGAAGGUCCCCCACACUGGUACUGAGACACGGACCAGACUCCUACGGGAGGCAGCAGUGAGGAAUAUUGGUCAAUGGCCGGGAGGCUGAACCAGCCAAGUCGCGUGAGGGAAGACGGUCCUAUGGAUUGUAAACCUCUUUUGUCAGGGAGCAAAAACUGCCACGCGUGGCAGGAUGAGAGUACCUGAAGAAAAAGCAUCGGCUAACUCCGUGCCAGCAGCCGCGGUAAUACGGAGGAUGCGAGCGUUAUCCGGGUUUAUUGGGUUUAAAGGGUGCGUAGGCGGACAGUUAAGUCAGCGGUAAAAUUGAGAGGCUCAACCUCUUCCCGCCGUUGAAACUGAUUGUCUUGAGUGGGCGAGAAGUAUGCGGAAUGCGUGGUGUAGCGGUGAAAUGCAUAGAUAUCACGCAGAACUCCGAUUGCGAAGGCAGCAUACCGGCGCCCAACUGACGCUGAAGCACGAAAGCGUGGGUAUCGAACAGGAUUAGAUACCCUGGUAGUCCACGCAGUAAACGAUGAAUACUAAUUGUUCGGGUCGAGUGAGAUCUGAGUGAUACAGCGAAAGCGUUAAGUAUUCCACCUGGGGAGUACGCCGGCAACGGUGAAACUCAAAGGAAUUGACGGGGGCCCGCACAAGCGGAGGAACAUGUGGUUUAAUUCGAUGAUACGCGAGGAACCUUACCCGGGCUCAAACGACACAGGAAUGAUCUGAGAAAUCAGGCAGUCCUUCGGGACCUGUGUCGAGGUGCUGCAUGGUUGUCGUCAGCUCGUGCCGUGAGGUGUCGGCUUAAGUGCCAUAACGAGCGCAACCCCCAUCGACAGUUGCCAGCAGGUCAAGCUGGGCACUCUGUCGAGACUGCCGGCGCAAGCUGUGAGGAAGGCGGGGAUGACGUCAAAUCAGCACGGCCCUUACGUCCGGGGCGACACACGUGUUACAAUGGCAGGUACAGCGGGAAGCCACCUGGCGACAGGGAGCGGAACCCGAAAGCCUGUCUCAGUUCGGAUUGGAGUCUGCAACUCGACUCCAUGAAGCUGGAUUCGCUAGUAAUCGCGCAUCAGCCACGGCGCGGUGAAUACGUUCCCGGGCCUUGCACACACCGCCCGUCA
RNAcentral lists this ribosomal RNA (1400 nucleotides) under uncultured bacterium. RNAcentral describes it as "16S ribosomal RNA". It matches the Rfam family "Bacterial small subunit ribosomal RNA". The record is from RNAcentral.